CCUACGGGAGGCAGCAGUGAGGAAUAUUGGUCAAUGGGCGCGAGCCUGAACCAGCCAAGUAGCGUGAAGGAUGACUGCCCUACGGGUGGUAAACUUCUUUUAUAAAGGAAUAAAGUGAGGCACGUGUGCAUUAUUGUAUGUACUUUAUGAAUAAGGAUAGGCUAACUCCGUGCCAGCAGCCGCGGUAAUACGGAGGAUCCGAGCGUUAUCCGGAUUUAUUGGGUUUAAAGGGAGCGUAGAUGGGUUGUUAAGUCAGUGGUGAAAGUUUGGGGCUCAACCGUAAAAUUGCAAUUGAUACUGGCAGCCUGGAGUACAGUUGAGGUAGGCGGAAUUCGUGGUGUAGCGGUGAAAUGCUUAGAUAUCACGAAGAACUCCGAUGGCGAAGGCAGCUUACUAAACUGCAACUGACAUUGAUGCGCGAAAGUGUGGGUAGCAAACAGGAUUAGAUACCCGGGUAGUC
RNAcentral lists this ribosomal RNA (460 nucleotides) under uncultured bacterium. RNAcentral's name for it is "partial 16S ribosomal RNA". It matches the Rfam family "Bacterial small subunit ribosomal RNA", at positions 338 to 795 of the family's 1533-position model. The record is from RNAcentral.